This 467-nucleotide ribosomal RNA is filed under the name uncultured bacterium. Its description in RNAcentral is "partial 16S ribosomal RNA". It matches the Rfam family "Bacterial small subunit ribosomal RNA", at positions 28 to 507 of the family's 1533-position model. The record is from RNAcentral.
GAUGAACGCUGGCGGCGUGCUUAACACAUGCCAGUCGAACGGUGAAGCAGAGCUUGCUCUGUGGAUCAGUGGCGAACGGGUGAGUAACACGUGAGCAACCUGCCCCUGACUCUGGGAUAAGCGCUGGAAACGGCGUCUAAUACUGGAUAUGAGCUGCGACCGCAUGGUCAGCAGUUGGAAAGAUUUUUCGGUCUGGGAUGGGCUCACGGCCUAUCAGCUUGUUGGUGAGGUAAUGGCUCACCAAGGCGUCGACGGGUAGCCGGCCUGAGAGGGUGACCGGCCACACUGGGACUGAGACACGGCCCAGACUCCUACGGGAGGCAGCAGUGGGGAAUAUUGCACAAUGGGCGAAAGCCUGAUGCAGCAACGCCGCGUGAGGGAUGACGGCCUUCGGGUUGUAAACCUCUUUUAGCAGGGAAGAAGCGAGAGUGACGGUACCUGCAGAAAAAGCGCCGGCUAACUACGUG